Oncorhynchus nerka (sockeye salmon) is the source of this 7788-nucleotide long non-coding RNA. RefSeq lists it as uncharacterized. NCBI's taxonomy places the organism in Eukaryota, Metazoa, Chordata, Actinopteri, Salmoniformes, Salmonidae. The record is from RefSeq and is a predicted model, not a curated record. The transcript has 4 exons.
UCAUUCUGUCAUCAGUUUGCAUUACAAUAGAACGUACUCGUAGAUCUGUGGCAGCUGGAGUCCGUAGCCUACAAGCGCUCGCAUACAAAAUACAGACAUCUGCGGGUUAAUUCCUCGUGCCAUCCAAACACUCCUUUGUCCAGGCUUCAGUCUUGUUAUUUACUUUCCAUUAUUAACCGCCCAUCAGAGGCAGCUGCUCCGCUCUCACCCGACCUCUCUGCUCAAGGCAAACUGACGCACUCCACGGAGGAUUAGUCGGACACAGUUGGAGCCCUUUAUCGCGCCAUCCUUGCUGACACAGAUGGUGCGAGACAGGUGCAUUUUGGACCGAUGGUCAAACUUGCAUCAAUGCAAAAGUGGCCAAACCCACAGCCCAGCUGGCAGGACGCACGUCCCCAUGACAACUGAGAUUCCCUGGGGUCCCUGAUGGACUGAUGAAUACAGGAGUAGGGAGACAGGUAUGCGUCCAGUAUAUCCACACAUAUCGAAGGGGUUCUUCUAAAGACAGAGGAUUAACCACUACUAUUGGUGGUAAUGAUGUCUUGUAUGUUCCGUUCCUCCAUGAAAUUUGUAUUGACUAUUGUUUUUAUUAGGGGAGCUACCGAAGCAAGAUAUUCAUUUCAAUUAGGUCAGUGUAAGGUAAAACAUUUCAAAUAAGAUUAAAAAAAGGUUAAUCAGGUCAGUUAGUAACUGUUCCUAAUCACCUAUGAAUUUUAUUAACCCCUUCCCUCCUGCAUCCCAUGGUAUCUUUAGGCAGUAGUCAAGUCCAAUGGUCCAGCCUCUCUUUGGUAGGGUUUUGGGGGCAGGUGUUCCAGGGGGUUGCGUUCCACUUUCUGCUGCUUGCUGCUCUGUGUUUCUCUCCAGAUAUGCUGAGGAGGAUACUGAGAUGGUGCCAGCCGUCAGAGGCCAUUUAGACGAGUCAACAACAUGACCAGACUGAUAGUGCUGUCUACAAAGCUGUUUUCUAAACAGUUGUCAACGCGGUUCAUCCUUACCGAAUUGGAACUGGGACGGGAACUGGGACCUAUGGCUUUCACCCACUGACGAAUGAACAUUACUACAAGGCUACUGAUGGAGCACACUUAUUUUGCUAUCGAUUUGUGUUAGAAGGAGACCUUUCAGUGACCUUUCAGUGAUUAUUAUUGUUAUUAUUAUUAUUUGGAAGUACCAUUGGCACGUUGCUGGCCCCUUUAAUUGUAGUCUAUUUUAUGCCGACGUCAUUCAGGACGUCAUUCAGGACCACAUUUCAUGCCAUAAGAGAGACCCAUAAAGGGUGGGGUUUUAGUGUUGUCUGAUGCUUUGGCGCUUUCAUUUCCUUAAAUAUUGUUUACCUGAGGGAGCUCUCUCCCCUCCUCUGUAAAAUAACACUUUAUCAUCCCCUUCCACACUGUUCAGCUGAUCAAAGCAGUGAGAGACUAACACCUUUCUCUGAUGCCUGCUUCUCCUCAUGCUGUCAGCACCUUUCUCUUCUCUGUAACCUUGGCAACACUUUUAACACCUUACUCACUUCCUUCUACAUCUGAUGUCUAACAUGACUAACAAGGUUGAGUCUGCUAAGAUGGCCUUCCUGCUAAUUUAAUUGAUGUUUCCCGAAGUUGACUAGGCAAACCGAACAAGUGGGCUUGCAUCCUCCCUUAAAAGAUCUUCACUUGGAAAACAAUAAAAAAGCGACAAUAGUACCGAUUGUCCAUUUUGACAUGCCGUAGCCAGUAUAAACUUACUCAAAAUAUUCAGAAUGAAUCUAAGAUAACUCAAGAAAUCCGUCAUACAAUUUGACGUUUUUGCAGAGAUCUUAGUCGCGCAAUUUUACAUCUAAUUGAGAUGUCUGGUGCAGUAUUUCUCAAUGAAAACAUUUGCAUGAAAACAUGUCGUCUCUCGUUGAAUUACAACAAAGACUUUAUUGAAGAAUCCCUACUGUUGACCAAUCACCAACGAAGGAGCGUAGAUUUCGGCUACCGACUUCGGCUUGCCUCUAGAAAAAAGAUUGAGCUCGAACAGUCGAAAAAAACAUUACUAAAGUCCAGAACUAACAAAAACAUCACAAAAUGAUGUCAUAAUAUAUGCACAAAUUCUAUUGAACUGUUUUGGCUGGGAAGCAUGCGGACGUCUUAACCCAGCUGACAUACCCAUACCACUCCAGCAGCUAAUGCUUGUUAUCGUUAGUCUACUCUGACGUUACAGGAGUGUUAUGAGGAUGUUACGACUUUAAUAGGGUUGUGUUUGUGGCGGUGUUUGGAUGGUCUCCCGAGGCCUGGUUUGUCUUGUGAUUUCUGCAUGUACUGCAACUCCCAAUAACCUCAGCUAGAGUCAUAUAGAACUAACCAACACCAGAGUAAUCCUGGUUUGCUAACCUGGACUAACAAUCUAACAGUCACUAAUCAAGCUAAUCAACCAAACUAAACCCCAAGCCCCGUUGAGGGGAGGACGGCUCAUUUGAAUGGCCGGAACGGAGCAAAUGGAAUGGUAUCAAACACAUGGAAACCAUAUAUUUGAUGUAUUUGAUACCAGUCUAUUCAUUCUGCUCCAGCCAUGAGCCCUUCCUCCCAAAUUAAGGUGCCAACAAAGUCCUGUGGUGUAGGUGUACAUUUUGAGUGUAAGAGUGUGGCUCUUAGUGUAAUUAAUUUCCUUACCCAUUGAAACCAAACCCUCAGCUCUCUUGGCAUUCCUUAAUAAAUACACUAACAAAUACCCUCUAAUACCUAACAGUACUAAUGUCUGGUAACAGACAUUUUGUUACUUACACUAACCUCUACUAUACUAACUUGUACCUCUCCCAUUUUCCUGAAACCUUUCUUCCACCAGACACAGAUCACCCAAAAUCAUAUACACUAACUAUGUAUUUAUCUAUCUGUCAUAACCUUAAGCUCAGUAAGUUGCUUGUUGAGAGGUUUUACUUUUGGCCCCUAAAGCACAACGGUGAGAAUGAUUCCAGGAUCUGGGAUGGGAAGCUGGAUUAACCAAUAGAUUUAAAGACAAAGCACACCUACCUACCUGUAGCUCACUGGGUUGACCACACACUUCUGCUCAGGGGGACGCCUAAAAACAUGUUACGAAUGUUUCAGUAACUAUGCUAAAGAUGAUUAUUUUUUAAGUUGUCCAUCUUAAUAGUUGAACAAAGAAUGGCUGACAAAUGUUUGUCCCCCUGUCCAUUGUGUGGCCAACCAGUGCUUCGUUUGUAGCCUGCAUAGACACAUGUGUAUUCUCUUAUUAUAUAAACCAAAGCAAAUAGCAACCCUUACCUGCUUUACUACUAACUGAGUGGUGACUGGUAUAUGAACAACAACCCUGGAUAAGGCCUAACACUUUGGCUAUUGAUUUCUUGCUCUUACAGUAUGUUAGUAUCUUCUCUCAGACUAACACGUGGUGCUUCUUUCAAUGAAGUCUAACCAUACUGUGACCAACUUAUCACCCAUCACUUCUCCCUGCCCCUUGGUGAGAUCAAACAGCAUCUAGUAGGCCAUGCAGUAUCGUUUCUUUACUUCCUGAGUCGUCAUGAGGAUAGACAUCCGUGUUCUUGAUCAUGUGACACUUUACUUAACCUGCACUAGAGUGAGAAAGCACUAACUAUUGGGCCAUGAAACAGCUUCCCAGAAACUAACAAACUAACUAACCUACUAAUUAACUAAUUAUCUAACAAACUAACUGAAAUGAUUAAUUGUGUGCUGAGAGUUAUCAAGUUUGGAGGUUUAUGUUCAGCAAGCCAUCCCCCUCUCUGGUGUGUGUGUGUGUGUGUGUGUGUGUGUGUGUGUGUGUGUGUGUGUGUGUGUGUGUGUGUGUGUGUGUGUGUGUGUGUGUGUGUGUGUGUGUGUGUGUGUGUGUGUGUGUGUGUGUGUGUGUGUGUGUGUGUGUGUGUGUGUGUGUGUGUGUGUGUGUGUGUGUGUGUAAUGUAUGCUGCAACUAGCUCUGACAGUCUCACGUCAGAAUUAGACGUUCAUCCAUGUUUCUCAAACAUCACAUUUCAAAUUUCUUCCAAACUUCAAAUUUCAGUGUUUAAGGCUAAGGUUAGGUAUUAACUACGAAUGGUUAAGGUUUGGAAUAGGCUUAAAACAAAAAUCUCAAAAACAACUUCAUAUUCAGGGAUUUGAACACACAACUUUUGGGACACGAGGCAGAUGCCAUUUGCUAUCUGCCAUCCCCACCUAUAACCCCCUAGAUAAACUGAAACCUACUUGAAUCUACCAGCGCUCACUGUUGCCCCUAGAGGCCAGUUUCCACAUCAUCUCCCGACGUCCUCAGACAUGGACGGACGUUGAAUACUGACUUGUAUCAAGGGUGAUCUGGCUAGCAGACCUGUGGUUAUUAAUACUAACCUGUACUGUGGAUGAUGUUGGCUGGGCUUGCAAUUUCAAACACAUUAACAUGAACUACUAUUUGCUUUGUGCACAGAGUCUGAGACAGAAUCUUCUCCCAUUUUCCUGAAACCUUUCUUCCACCAGACACAGAUCACCCAAAAUCAUAUAUACUAACUAUGUAUUUAUCUAUCUGUCAUAACCUUAAGCUCAGUAAGUUGCUUGUUGAGAGGUUUUACUUUUGGCCCCUAAAGCACAACGGUGAGAAUGAUUCCAGGAUCUGGGAUGGGAAGCUGGAUUAACCAAUAGAUUUAAAGACAAAGCGCACCUACCUACCUGUAGCUCACUGGGUUGACCACACACUUCUGCUCAGGGGGACGCCUAAAAACAUGUUACGAAUGUUUCAGUAACUAUGCUAAAGAUGAUUAUUUUUUUAAGUUGUCCAUCUUAAUAGUUUAACAAAUAAUGGCUGACAAAUGUUUGUCCCCCUGUCCAUUGUGUGGCCAACCAGUGCUUGGUUUGUAGCCUGCAUAGACACGUGUGUAUUCUCUUAUUAGAUAAACCAAAGCAAAUAGCAACCCUUACCUGCUUUACUACUAACUGAGUGGUGACUGGUACUAACAACCCCAGAUGAGGCCUCAGAAUUUGGCCAUUGAUUCUUUGCUCUUACGCAGGUUGACAUUUAUUGUCAUGAGUCUUGUCCUGAAGGCAGAACUGACCGAUUUCCCCUUAGAUAGGCCAGCUGCAAAGUCAAAAAUUGUCUAUAUUGUAAAAAUAAACGUUUUUGCUUUUUGGUCAUUAGCUCUAACAGUGUGGGUAAGGAUAGGUUUAACAUUAGGUUUAACAUCAGAUUUCAUGACUUUGUGGUUGUGCUACCUAGUGACCCCUCUGCAGAGUGAACUCCAGAACAACAUUCAUGACAAAAAACACUAACCUGAUGCUCUUACUAACAUACUGUAUCUUCUCUCAGACUAACAUGUGGUGCUUCUUUCAAUGCUGUCUAACCAUGCUGUGACCAACUUAUCACCCAUCACUUCUCCCUGCCCCUUGGUGAGAUCAAACAGCAUCUAGUAGGCCAUGCAGUAUCGUUUCUUUACUUCCUGAGUCGUCAUGAGGAUAGACAUCCCUGUGUCCUUGAUCGCGUGACACUUUACUUAACCUGCACUAGAGUUAGAAAGCACUAACUAUUGGGGCAUGAAACAGCUUCCCAGAAACUAACAAACUAACUAACCUACUAAUUUGACUAAUUAUCUAACAAACUAACUGAAAUGACUAAUGUUGUGCUGAGAGUUAUCAGGUUUUGGUUCAGCAAGCCACCCCCCCCCCCCCCCCUGUGUGUGUGUACAUUGAUUCUCAAACUGUGUGCAUGAUGCCGUCAUUGUUUUUGUCUGAAUGAGUGUUAAGGAUUCAGCAUGCUCCAGCUCGGCUGGCGCCUAGCCAAAUUCGGCUAGGUGAACCGAAUGAGUGUGCUGCAUACUCCCUUAAAAGACCUUUGCUUGAAAAUGUGAAAAAGCAGCAAUUAUACUGUUUGUCAAUUUGAGAUGCCAUAGCCAUUACACACUUCCUUAAAAUAGUCAGAAUUAAUCGAAGAUAAUUCAAGAAAUCUGUCAUUAAUUUAGACUUUUUUUGCAGAGGAGAUCUUAGUCAUGCAAUAGUACAUCUAAGAUUUUUGGUGCAGUAUUUCUCAAUUAAUAAAUGUGCAUGAAAACGAGUCGUCUAUCAUUAAAUGACAACAAAGACUUUAUUGAAGAAUCCCUACGGUUGACCAAUCACCGAUGAAUGGGGGUUAUUUUAGUCUCAGAACUUCGACUUGCCUCUAGAAUGUUUUGGUUGUGUCAGAACAGCCGAAAAAAGCCCACCGAAGUCCAAAACGAACAAAAACGUCACAUAAUGUCUUCAUAAUAUAUGCACAAACUCUUCUGAACUGUGUCGACUGGGAAGCAUGAGGACGCCUUAAGCGUGUAUGUUUUUCUAUCCGUUUUUUCUAUGGAGUAACGUUAUGCUAUAGCAAUGUUGUCUUCAUCCACUAUUUACACAAAUGACUGAUGAUUGGCUGAUGAUAAAAUUAUUGUAGAGGCUGUUUUGUUAUACUUCAGUGCGGCUUUUGACAUUAUCGAUCAUAGUCUGCUGCUGGAAAAACGUAUGUGUUAUGGCUUUACAUCCCCUGCUAUAUUGUGGAUAAAGAGUUACCUGUCUAACAGAACACAGAUGGUGUUUUAAUGGAAGCCUCUCCAACAUAAUCCAGGUAGAAUCAGGAAUUUCCCAGGGCAGCCCGUUACUCUUUUUAAUCUGUAGUAAUGACAUGCCACUGGCUCUACUCAAUUGCGGAUGACUCAACACUAUACCCAUCAACUACUACAGCGACUGAAAUGACCGCAACACUUAACAAAGAGCUGCGGUUAGUUUCAGAAUGGGUGGCAAGGAAUAAGAUCGUCCUAAAUAUUUCUAAAACUAAAAGCAUUGUAUUUGGGACAAAUCAUUCACUAAACCCUAAACCUCAACUAAAUCUUGUAAUAAAUAAUGUGGAAAUUGAGCAAGUUGAGGUGACUAAACUGCUUGGAGUAACCCGGGAUUGUAAACUGUCAUGGUCAAAACAUAUUGAUACAACAGAAGCUAAGACGGGGAAAAGUCUGUCCGUAACAAACAGCUCGGACACAGUUCAGACACCCAUGCACAAGACAUGCCACAUGAGGUCUCUUCAGAGUCCCCAAGUCCAGAACAGACUAUGGGAGGUGCACAUUACUACAUAGAGCCAUGACUACAUGGAACUCAACAUCAACAUCAAGUAACUGAUGCAAGUAGUCAAAUUUGAUUUAAAAAACAGAUAAAAUACACCUUAUGGAACAGCAGGGACUAUGAAGCAACACAAACAUAGGCACAUACACUUAAACAUAGGCACACACACAUAUACACACACACACAAUAACAUACGCACAAUACACACACAUAAACAGGGAUUUUGUAUUGUACAUAUUUGGUAGUGGAGUAGGAGCCUGAGGGCACACAGUAUGUUGAGAAUUUUGUUGUGAAUGUAUUGUAAUGUUUUUAAAAUUGUACAACUGCAUUAAUUUUGCUGUUUGGCAGCAGCUAAUGGGGAUUAAUAGUAAAAACAAAUGCACAUUUAGAACUGAUUUAGCAAAAACUAAGACCACAUUUAUUAUACAGACUCAACUGUCAAAGGUGGGUUCUAUUCUUGGAUAAAGACAAGCUUCUUAUGGCUUGACAAUCAAAUUGUGUGAUCAAACGAUGAAGCAGUUUUGCUUUGGAGGACCUAGUGUCUUUCAGAGUAGCUUCAAUCAAAAGCGUCACUAGUCAACACAGUGUCUAAGUGGUUUUGAUCCUUGUCCUUUGUGUGGUGUCACUACAGAAUUAUUCACAAAAUAUGGCUGGGAUGUUGAAAAACUGAUAAUAUUCUUACUAUCUUUUAUUUCAUGUGCUGUAUUGAUAAAACAUAUUUACCAUGCCCUUGUCUCUGUUGAAUAAACUAUUUAAAAAAGUA